Carassius carassius (crucian carp) is the source of this 270-nucleotide long non-coding RNA. RefSeq lists it as uncharacterized. Lineage: Eukaryota; Metazoa; Chordata; Actinopteri; Cypriniformes; Cyprinidae. The record is from RefSeq and is a predicted model, not a curated record. The transcript is spliced from 3 exons.
CAGCCCAGUGGUGUUUCUGAAGAGGUAUUCCUUCAGAAAUGGAGAAGACAGAAAGCUGCGGAGGCAGACAUUUGCAGCAGAUUGUUUGCAGAUAAUGCUGUUCUUCUUUUUCAGAAGUUUUUGGUGAGCCAACCCUCACAAACCUUCCUAAAAACUAAAAGAGCUAUUACUGAGUCUCAGCGAAUCUUGCCAUGAUCAGCUCUUCCCAGAAGAGAAGGAAGACCAAGGAAAUGAUUUGCCCAGGAUGAGGAAUGAAGAGCUCAUCUUGUG